Molecule: long non-coding RNA, 363 nt
Organism: Mycetomoellerius zeteki
Lineage: Eukaryota; Metazoa; Arthropoda; Insecta; Hymenoptera; Formicidae
Exons: 3
Source: RefSeq, a predicted model, not a curated record
CACAUUAUGUACUCGCACAUCAUCGAUACAAUUUCAAAGUAUCCUAACUCUCGAGAGGCGAAUUUGCAAAGGAGAAAAUUAUGCAAACACAUACGCAGUCCACCGUUUUAUCCAUACGAAGACUGGAGUAUCCCGAACAAACUUUCCCAGGGAUUGUUUCUCAACGCUUCAGGAUUGUCACAAGGCCAAUCAUGACUGCAACUUCCUUCAAGUCAUCCGCCGUGUCAGCCUUUCAAUUAUACAUAUACGCGCUCUCCAUUUGACGCAGUCUGUAGUGUAUUCCUACUACUUAUAGCUGUGGUGUUCCGUAUUAAAAACUAACUGCAGAUUGAGAAAUGCAUGAUAAAAUAAUAUAAGGCAGCA